CCUACGGGCGGCAGUGGGGGAUAUUGCACAAUGGGGGGAACCCUGAUGCAGCGACGCCGCGUGGGUGAAGGAGCGUUUCGGCGCGUAAAGCUCUAUCAGCAGGGAAGAAAUUGACGGUACCUGACUAAGAAGCCCCGGCUAACUACGUGCCAGCAGCCGCGGUAAUACGUAGGGGGCAAGCGUUAUCCGGAUUUACUGGGUGUAAAGGGAGCGUAGACGGCGCGGCAAGUCUGAAGUGAAAGGCAGGGGCUUAACCCCUGAACUGCUUUGGAAACUGCCAUGCUAGAGUGCUGGAGAGGUAAGUGGAAUUCCUAGUGUAGCGGGGAAAUGCGUAGAUAUUAGGAAGAACACCAGUGGCGAAGGCGGCUUACUGGACAGUAACUGACGUUGAGGCUCGAAAGCGUGGGGAGCAAACAGGAUUAGAUACCCUUGUAGUC
Molecule: ribosomal RNA, 437 nt
Filed under: uncultured bacterium
Lineage: Bacteria
Description: partial 16S ribosomal RNA
Rfam family: Bacterial small subunit ribosomal RNA
Source: RNAcentral